AGCUCAGUGGUAGAGCACUUGCCUAACACGCAUGAGGCCCUGGGUUCCAUCCACAG
This 56-nucleotide transfer RNA is filed under the name Heterocephalus glaber (naked mole-rat). It matches the Rfam family "tRNA", at positions 9 to 63 of the family's 71-position model. Rfam says of the family: Transfer RNA (tRNA) molecules are approximately 80 nucleotides in length. Their secondary structure includes four short double-helical elements and three loops (D, anti-codon, and T loops). The record is from Rfam by way of RNAcentral. Lineage: Eukaryota; Metazoa; Chordata; Mammalia; Rodentia; Bathyergidae.